RNAcentral lists this ribosomal RNA (468 nucleotides) under uncultured bacterium. RNAcentral describes it as "partial 16S ribosomal RNA". It matches the Rfam family "Bacterial small subunit ribosomal RNA", at positions 28 to 507 of the family's 1533-position model. The record is from RNAcentral.
GACGAACGCUGGCGGCGUGCUUAACACAUGCAAGUCGAACGGAAAGGCCCUGCUCUUGUGGGGUGCUCGAGUGGCGAACGGGUGAGUAACACGUGAGUAACCUGCCCUUGUCUUUGGGAUAACUUCAGGAAACUGGGGCUAAUACCGGAUAGGAGCUCCUGCUGCGUGGUGGGGGUUGGAGAGUUUCGGCGGUUGGGGAUAGACUCGAUGCUUAUCAGCUUGUUGGUGGGGUAGUGGCUUACCAAGGCUUUGACGGGUAGCCGGCAUGAGAGGGUGACCGGCGACAUUGGGACUGAGAUACGGACCAGACUCCUACGGGAGGCAGCAGUGGGGAAUAUUGCAGAAUGGGCGGAAGCCUGAUGCAGCAACGUCGCGUGCGUGAUGACGGCCUACGGGUUGUAAACCACUUUCGCAUGUGACGAAGCGUGAGUGACGGUAAUGGGUAAAGAAGCACCGGCUAACUACGUG